This 156-nucleotide ribosomal RNA is filed under the name Strobilomyces pteroreticulosporus. Its description in RNAcentral is "5.8S ribosomal RNA". It matches the Rfam family "5.8S ribosomal RNA". Rfam says of the family: 5.8S ribosomal RNA (5.8S rRNA) is a component of the large subunit of the eukaryotic ribosome. Lineage: Eukaryota; Fungi; Basidiomycota; Agaricomycetes; Boletales; Boletaceae. The record is from RNAcentral.
CAACUUUCAGCAAUGGAUCUCUUGGUUCUCGCAUCGAUGAAGAACGCAGCGAAUCGCGAUAAGUAAUGUGAAUUGCAGAUUUCCAGUGAAUCAUCGAAUCUUUGAACGCACCUUGCGCUCUCUGGUAUUCCGGAGAGCAUGCCUGUUUGAGCGUCG